GAUGAACGCUGGCGGCGUGCCUAAUACAUGCAAGUCGAGCGAACAGAUGAGGAGCUUGCUCCUCUGACGUUAGCGGCGGACGGGUGAGUAACACGUGGAUAACCUACCUAUAAGACUGGGAUAACUUCGGGAAACCGGAGCUAAUACCGGAUAAUAUAUUGAACCGCAUGGUUCGAUAGUGAAAGACGGUUUUGCUGUCACUUAUAGAUGGAUCCGCGCCGCAUUAGCUAGUUGGUAAGGUAACGGCUUACCAAGGCAACGAUGCGUAGCCGACCUGAGAGGGUGAUCGGCCACACUGGAACUGAGACACGGUCCAGACUCCUACGGGAGGCAGCAAUAGGGAAUCUUCCGCAAUGGGCGAAAGCCUGACGGAGCAACGCCGCGUGAGUGAUGAAGGUCUUCGGAUCGUAAAACUCUGUUAUUAGGGAAGAACAAAUGUGUAAGUAACUAUGCACGUCUUGACGGUACCUAAUCAGAAAGCCACGGCUAACUACGUG
This 497-nucleotide ribosomal RNA is filed under the name uncultured bacterium. RNAcentral describes it as "partial 16S ribosomal RNA". It matches the Rfam family "Bacterial small subunit ribosomal RNA", at positions 28 to 507 of the family's 1533-position model. The record is from RNAcentral.